GGAAGAAUCUGAUCCUCAGUGGGUUGCUUCCGAGUUUGUGGAUCCUUCGGGUUUUGCUGAGUUGCCGAACUUCCCUUCCGGUCAAGGCAAGCCCCGGACAUUAAACCCUAUCCUUGUAUUUUCAUAAAGUUAUUUAUAUCACUUGAGUUAAUAUGAUGCAUUAGGUGAAUAGGAGUUGAGUGAAUCCUAUUUGCUGCAUUAUCUACCUUGAUGAUUUCAAUAUUAACCUUGAUACUUGUUUUAUGAAAAUACUUAGUAUGCUUAGCCCUGCUUAUUAGAUAAGUUUUCAAAUGAGAAAGUUUGAAGGGUUGUUGUGGAAUACUUUUAAGGUCAAUACUGUUCAACUUGAGACCGGUCGGUGGACUUGCUUUAAGAAUGGAGUCUUAAAGUAGUGUCUCCAACUGUGUCGAUUAAGGACCGUUCUGUUGUUGGCCUGUUGUGAUUGAGACCUUUGAGUACAGCCCACAUGCGCUGGUAAGCCUUACCUAUAGCUAUUCCGAUACUUGAGAACGGCUAACCGCGUACUGGGAGUGGAGAGAUGGCGAGAGUAGCGUGUACCCACCUUACGGAUCUGAGAUGACCGGGAAACAUCUAGAUUGGCUGUAGGAUGGUGGUGUACUGUACUCUCGGGUGACGCUGGACCCGUUCUUGUAUGGGAGUAUCUAUAGAAAAGGUUGACAUAUGCAAGAUUAAGUUCUACAUAUGUCGUGUGGUACUGAAUCCCCAGCUGGGUUUAAUCGAUUCGAAUCGCCGUGUUUCCUCGGAUAUGGAGCCUCAAUCCUCACCCCAUCAUCGUAGUAAUAAAUGAUCUUUGGUAAGAGAAAGAGGUGGUAUGCUUAUGCAAGUUUGAUAACAAUUUUGGUUAGUCAUAAAUAAUGAUCUUGAGUUAAAACUUGAAAGUAGGUUUUACUCUUAGUAAGCUUUUAUGCAAAAGAAAUGCUUUGAUCCUGUUAAGGUUUUACCUUGAAUCCCUAUAGCCUGCAUACCUGAGUCUUCACCUCUUUUCUAGUCGGUUAAGUCUUGUUGAGUACUUUUGUACUCAAGGUUUUAUAACCCCUGUUGCAGGUGCUGACUUAGUCUGCUAAUGGAGGUCAUGUCGGUGGGCGCGACAUGAUUUAUCCACCUCUUCUACCUUAGAAGCUUCACCUAAGAUGCUUCCGCUACUCUAUACACCUUUUGGAAAUUUAGUUAAGUUUAUACUUCAUCAUAUGUUGUAAAUUAAGUUAUAAAUCUUCCGCACUCUGAUCUAAGUUAUUUUUGUAACAAAUGUUGUAAUGUUGUGGUAACUCCAUGUUGAUCCUGUAUGAGUUAAAACGUGGAUGAUUCGGGUUUCCCGAGGACACCCGACAGACUUCUUGAGUCAUUUGGAACUCGUGCAC
Molecule: long non-coding RNA, 1379 nt
Filed under: Sorghum bicolor (sorghum)
Lineage: Eukaryota; Viridiplantae; Streptophyta; Magnoliopsida; Poales; Poaceae
Description: long non-coding RNA (SBIC_LNC001557)
Source: RNAcentral